Molecule: long non-coding RNA, 2292 nt
Filed under: Phasianus colchicus (ring-necked pheasant)
Lineage: Eukaryota; Metazoa; Chordata; Aves; Galliformes; Phasianidae
Description: lncRNA (ENSPCLG00000002044.1)
Source: RNAcentral
AUGGGCAAAUUGUGUUAGCUUUGUGUGUGUGUGUGUGUGAAAAAUGCUUAUACCUAAAGCACUGGAAACUCCACUGACUCAGCUCUUGAUCAAAUGCCUGCUGAAGUCUUUCCAUCUUCUUCAGCAGUGUUUGGAUCACAAUGGCAAAUGGCAAAUCCACAUAAGUGAACAUUAGGGCUCUGCAGUGUCCUGCUCUGCGUGGACAAAGCCCUAUUCUAUCUGUUCCAUUUGGAUCCAAGUUCCACCACAAGAUUUACUCCAUGCCUACACCCAUGUCACUGCCAUGACAACUGAAACUGAAUGAAAAUACACUCAGCCCAGGCUUGCCCUUCUCAGCUUGCCCUCUGCCCAUGCCCACUGCCCCCAUGCCCAGUGCUGUGAAGAGACAUGACUACAGCAGCUCCACCAUUCCUGCGUCCGGCCUCCAGCCCUUUGGGCAUGCAGGGUUGGAUGCUCACGGCUGGUGGCUGGGAGUGCUUUUGUCACAUUCAGCUUGAGCACUAAACAUAAACAGAGAGCUCCUCCUCUUUGCUCGGAUUCACUGAAAUCUUAAAACAAAACUCAGGGCAAGCUCUUCCUUCUUUAGCUAGGGCAAUGGCUGUAACGAAACAAACCACAUUUUGUUUUCUGUCAGACAGGUGUGAUGGCACACCUGCGGGGCUCAGGCCUGAAUGGCAGCAAGUAACCUCCAGUGGGUGAGGUGGGGGGCAGAUCCUGCUGAACAAGGAUGUCAGACCGAUCUUUGUUCACUUCUCCCCACCAAGUAUCUGUGGCAACAAACCGGAGACGGGUAAACAAUCAGCUUCUGCUACAACAAGCUUUCCAUUUACAGUUCACCAGGAGCUCUUAUUAUAUGAAAGGAAAGGGUGGAUGUGGUGUCAACACAAGGUAAUAGUAAUAUUAUUUGAACAGGUGUGUGGGGUGUUGCUAAAGGGAGAGUGCGGGUGAGCGGCAGGGAGCAGUCAGUGCAGGGCUGUGCAUGCAAUAACCAGAACUCACCGCGUUUAUUGCCACAACAAUCGUGUGCGGCGACAGCGGGCCGCUCCGAUUUACCCGGUGCGCUGAAGCAGAGCUGUGCUUCCUUGCUAUCUAACUCCCUCCUGAAACACAGCCUGGAAAUAUACGCACGCUGGGAACUCGGCGAGCAGCCCUGCCGUGCACGCAGCCACAGAGGCGGCCCAGCAAUUCAGGCUGUCCCCAGCCCUGGCUUCUCACAGACAGCAUUGCUGCUGGCCUGCGUCAGAGGAGAGGCGGCAGUCCUGGGAACGCUGUAUCUCUUCCAUCGAGUUUAACCUUGCGGAACACGAUGUGUAUGUUCUAUAACCGCUGCCUUUCCCCUGCUGACAUACUCCGACAUCCUCCGGCAUCCUUGGAGCCGUCCCGUCCUCUCGAGCAGCCUCAGUAGAAUGCUGCCCUCUAUUGAACGCAAGGACGCAGCGCACGUUGAAAGAUGCUGGUGAAUCCUGAGGGGCUGACGAGCGAGCGGAAAGGCAGCACCGUGUAUUACGCUAUUAAACAGUUAGGAGAGCUGUUUGGAAGAAUGUAAAUUCUCUAAAAUAUCAGUUCUCCUCUUUAUCUUGAACAAAAUGGGAAACAAACAAAAGUGCCCGACUCUUUUAAGGAAAUAUUGCAGCCAGAGAAAUUUUGUUCUCUCCAGUGCCUGCCUACAUGGAGGGGAGACCGAAUCCUGGGUCUUCACUCAAGUUACAGUCAUUUAUUUGACUGUUUGAGUAAUGAAUUUGCUGAACAUCUAGGCCUUGUGGCUGGAGGAAAACUUUUUCUCCGAGAGACCUCUGAAGGAAAGGGGUUCAAGCUGGCUCUGCACCAUAACAGAAACAUGGGUUGCUGUAGUGCACAGUAAUCCGAGGAGCCGCUGUUGUGGUGGCUGUAGGAAGCAUCGCAUCUCCGACUUGAGCAACUUACUGGGGAGAUAUGUCCCCAUCCAGAGAGAGGAGGGUGUUUCUCCAACUAUUCCUCCUUCCCGGUGGCAAGCAGCUGCAAAGAUAGGACACACUUCUGUGUGUCUUCCUUCAGGGAAAGAAUAUAAAAGAGAUCUUGUGGGAAAAGCUUUGCUGGAGGAGCUGCCGCCUCCUUUUCUUCAAUAGUGGCAUUGACAAAACCCUUCUUUCUUUCACUCCUACACACCCCUGCUUAAUGAAUCUUUCUGCUGGAGGCAAGAGGUGCAAGGGGCCAUCACACCAGGUGUUGGGACAGCAAUUGGACUGUACCAAAGGGACACCCCCAUGGGCUAGGUUUCAGUCUGUAGCACCCCAGAAGAUGCCAGCUCACACA